CAUUUGCCAAGUAUGUUUCCGUUAAUCAAGAACGAAAGUUAGAGGUUCGAAGGCGAUCAGAUACCGCCCUAGUUCUAACCAUAAACGAUGCCAGCCAGCGAUCCGCCGAAGUUCCUCCGAUGACUCGGCGGGCAGCUUCCGGGAAACCAAAGCUUUUGGGUUCCGGGGGAAGUAUGGUUGCAAAGCUGAAACUUAAAGGAAUUGACGGAAGGGCACCACCAGGAGUGGAGCCUGCGGCUUAAUUUGACUCAACACGGGAAACCUCACCAGGCCCGGACACCGGAAGGAUUGACAGAUUGAGAGCUCUUUCUUGAUUCGGUGGGUGGUGGUGCAUGGCCGUUCUUAGUUGGUGGAGCGAUUUGUCUGGUUAAUUCCGGUAACGAACGAGACUCUAGCCUGCUAAAUAGACGAUUUCCGGUAUCCACAAUAGUGCUACCGGCGAAAUCAAUAUCUUCUUAGAGGGACAGGCGGCUUUCAGCCGCACGAAACUGAGCAAUAACAGGUCUGUGAUGCCCUUAGAUGUCCUGGGCCGCACGCGCGCUACACUGAAGGAAUCAGCGUGUACACCCUGGCCGAAAGGCUCGGGCAACCCGUUGAACCUCCUUCGUGCUAGGGAUUGGGGCUUGCAAUUGUUCCCCAUGAACGAGGAAUUCCCAGUAAGCGCGAGUCAUAAGCUCGCGUUGAUUACGUCCCUGCCCUUUGUACACACCGCCCGUCGCUACUACCGAUUGAAUGAUUUAGUGAGGUCUUCGGACUAGUGCGCGGCGGCCGCCUGCGCGGCGGCCGAUGCCACCGGGAAGAUGACCGAACUUGAUCAUUUAGAGGAAGUA
This 830-nucleotide ribosomal RNA is filed under the name Psaltoda moerens. Its description in RNAcentral is "SSU rRNA". It matches the Rfam family "Eukaryotic small subunit ribosomal RNA", at positions 952 to 1784 of the family's 1831-position model. The record is from RNAcentral. Lineage: Eukaryota; Metazoa; Arthropoda; Insecta; Hemiptera; Cicadidae.